This 253-nucleotide ribosomal RNA is filed under the name uncultured bacterium. RNAcentral's name for it is "partial 16S ribosomal RNA". It matches the Rfam family "Bacterial small subunit ribosomal RNA", at positions 524 to 776 of the family's 1533-position model. The record is from RNAcentral.
UACGGAGGGAGCUAGCGUUGUUCGGAAUUACUGGGCGUAAAGCGCGCGUAGGCGGCUUUGUAAGUUAGAGGUGAAAGCCCGGAGCUCAACUCCGGAAUUGCCUUUGAGACUGCAUCGCUUGAAUCCAGGAGAGGUGAGUGGAAUUCCGAGUGUAGAGGUGAAAUUCGUAGAUAUUCGGAAGAACACCAGUGGCGAAGGCGGCUCACUGGACUGGUAUUGACGCUGAGGUGCGAAAGCGUGGGGAGCAAACAGG